This 200-nucleotide ribosomal RNA is filed under the name uncultured bacterium. RNAcentral describes it as "partial 16S ribosomal RNA". It matches the Rfam family "Bacterial small subunit ribosomal RNA", at positions 8 to 228 of the family's 1533-position model. The record is from RNAcentral.
AGAGUUUGAUCCUGGCUCAGAGCGAACGCUGGCGGCAUGCUUAACACAUGCAAGUCGCACGGGCAGGUUUCGGCCUGUCAGUGGCGGACGGGUGAGUAACGCGUAGGGAUCUAUCUCCGGGUGGGGGACAACCGUGGGAAACUACGGCUAAUACCGCAUGACACCUGUGGGUCAAAGCUCGCAAGAGCGCCGGGGGAGGA